CGGGCUGCACCUCCAUGCCGCUCCUGCGGGGAUAUCGAUGUGCCAUGCCUCCUCUAUGCCUCACCCACCGCCGCACCGCGGGCCCCACAGUGGGUACCCGGGGAGCGCUGCUCCCCGCGGUGUCCGCGGGCUGCAGGGGGAUGACCCGCUCCUCCGUGGGCCUCUCCUGGGUUGCAGGGAGCUGCUGCUACGUGCCUCCUGCCGCUCUGACCUCGGAGCCUGCAGGGCCGUUCCUCGCACAUUUCUCACCCCCGUCUCCCAACUGCGGCUGCACGGCAGUUUCCAUUCAAUAACUGCGCUCUCCCAGCGUUGCUCACGGCUCAGCUCCUGGGCCCUGCUCACACAGGCCUCCCCAGCUAUGAAUACCUUGCCACAUUGAAUCUGUUGUGGAAGUUGGAGUGUAACUAUUUGUGUUUCACAUCUGAUGGAUGCCUUCAGUUUAUCUGCUCUCCAGAAGACUUCCGGAAGACACAAGUUUUGUUCUUAACAUCAAUUUUGGUAGCCAGCAGAAGAAUGAAUAUGUUAAAAUCUUAAGCAAAUCAAAUCCAGUUACAAGAUGAGAACAAUGCUGCAAAGAACUUUUUACUUGGAGUUUUCAUUAGAAGGUAAUGAUAGUAUCAUUCAAAGAAAAAACUGAAAAUUUGUGGAUAUUAUUUCUGUAUGAAGAUAUUUUGUAAUUUCCAAAUUAAUCGCUAUUGUAAGCAUGUGAUAUCAUGUAUUUAUAUCUGAUGCAUAAUUUGCAUUGCAAGAAUGUCAGUAUUAAUGCUCUUAACAUAUUUACUGCAUCUGAUAAGGUAAUAUUAGGCAGCUAGAUUGGCAAGCUUGAUUCAGCAAGUCACAAAUAUAUACAUAAAGUAAAAAAGGACCACUUUUUUUUUCCUCUCUUUUUGUGGAAUUCUUCAUGAUAUUGAGAUGUAAUAAAACUACCAAACAGAAUUUGAUUCACAAAUCUGGAAUGAAUAGGAAAGGAAUAUGUUUUCUGUUUAAGGUUUAUUUUAUGUAAUAUGCAAGGAAAAAAGAAUGUUUUGCAUUCAUAUUUUCUAAAGUUCUAUUAACAAAGACCUAUGGCUUUUCUUUGAUAAAUAGCUAACUUGUUCGGUGGAAUGCACGGUAAGAAAUAUUCUUAAAUGGACAAUUGUCCUUUUUGUAAUUUCAUUUAUAUAGUAAAAAUAAUCAGAAAAAAUCACCUGAGAGCUAAUUUUUUAAUCUCUCUGGAAAAGUAAAAUGUAUUUAAUGAUUUUCUGAAUGUUUUGGAAAGGUAUGUGAAAAUAAUGUAUUUGUAUUAAUCAGAACACCAUUUAGCUUUUAUCUUCUAUCAUCAUGCAGUAUUCUGUCACAUCAGCGUAGCAGCGCUAUAAAAAAUCUGAAGGUUUCUGUGUGAAGCUUUGACUACUGUAACCUCUUUCUUUGAACAAGUGAAUCCCAAAGUACAUAAAUAAAGGCAUGUCAGUUUAAGACAAGUUUUCAGCCUUAGGUGUGAGGGGUGAAGUUCUGGCUGACUUACAUACCUGACAUUGAGCCUAAAAUCACAGGUGGAUUUAAUGGUACUUUAUAGUGAAGUACAGAUAGUUUUUAAAUGUAAGAACUGAUAGGAUUGGUGUAUAAGAUUGUUAUGUAGUUUUUAAAUUGUUGGGUUAUGGAUAUCCCAUUUUUGAGUGAAGUUGCACCAUUAUGCAUAUGCCCAAUAUCAGUACAGUCAUUUCCUUGUCAGUGUGGAAAUGAACUUUGAUAGUAUGAGCAUCUUUACCCAUUUAAUAGCAGUAAGACAGUUGAGGGACCAUGCUAAUAUUGCAGGAGAUUUGAAAGGCAUAGCAUUUGCUGUGCAUGGUUAUGAAAAUAACAACUUUAUGCAGAAACUGCACUGACACUUUCUGUAUACAUCACAUCAGCCACAUAUAAAUGGCUGUAGAGAGAAUUAGAUCCAGAUUCCCCUAAGGGAUUUCAACAUCUAAUGAUUUUGAUGAACACCAAUUGAGAUUUUGAAAGAUCUUUAACAAGUUAGGUACUUAUCUCCCACUGACUUUAUCUAUUUAGUCACAUUGCAGGGAAAAAAAAAAAAAGCCAUUAGACUGUUCUAAGCAGCUUUAGAUGCCUAGAAGAAAGGCACUCAUUGAAAAAGUUUGUCCUAUUUACAGUUAAUGAUUUGCUAUUUCUUUUAAAGGCUUAAAAUCUAUAAAAUUAUGGUUAUUGAUUACACAAACGCAGUAUUAUUUUUCUAAAUAAUUAUAAUAAUAAUAAUUUCAUUCCAAAGUAAUAGUAAUCUAAUAAAGCUGCAUCCCAUAAAGACAAAUUUGAUUUAUACAGUUUAAGGACCACACUGCAAUUAUAGAAGCAUACAUAUGUGUAAUUAGUUUCUUGAAUAAAAAAUAUUCAAUUAAAAACCUGCAGAACAGGUUAUAAAAGGCAGGAGCUAUUGUUUGAAACUGGGACUAAAGUUUUCUAUACUAUUGAACAAAACAAGCCAGAGUGAAUAUGAUACUUUUAUCUCCAGCACAGAGGCUUGAAAGCAAAGCAGGUUUAUUUCGCACAGCUAUUUAGGUCAGUUCAAAGACCCACACAUUUAGGUUUCCUGCAGAGCUCUACUGCAACCAGAGACUGACAGAUGAAACGAGUCUUUUCAUUUCUGUUUUAUUACCUGCCAUAGCAGUCAGUUAUACCUGAUCAUAUAAAAACAUAUCAUAAUUUUUAUUAAAG
Molecule: long non-coding RNA, 2694 nt
Filed under: Gallus gallus (chicken)
Lineage: Eukaryota; Metazoa; Chordata; Aves; Galliformes; Phasianidae
Description: lncRNA (ENSGALG00010008761.1)
Source: RNAcentral